UAAAAGUGAUAGGGAUGGAUGGCCCUUGU
Molecule: non-coding RNA, 29 nt
Filed under: Mus musculus (house mouse)
Lineage: Eukaryota; Metazoa; Chordata; Mammalia; Rodentia; Muridae
Source: RNAcentral